Long non-coding RNA from Salvelinus namaycush (lake trout), 245 nucleotides. RefSeq lists it as uncharacterized. The transcript has 3 exons. The record is from RefSeq and is a predicted model, not a curated record. NCBI's taxonomy places the organism in Eukaryota, Metazoa, Chordata, Actinopteri, Salmoniformes, Salmonidae.
GGCAACCAGACAAGCUGGUAGUGGUGUGGACUCGCAGGAGCCGACGGAAAUCCUCCAAGGCUCACAGUUGGCAGCCAGGCAUCAAGAACCCCUACCGAGGAGUGGUGGUGUGGCCUGUACCGGAAAACAUAGAAAUCACUGUCACACUCUUCAAGGACCCCCACGCAGAGGAGUUUGAAGACAAGGAGUGGACGUUUGUCAUAGAAAAUGUGAGUACACAUUACCUCUCCCCUCACUUAUGCUGG